Podarcis lilfordi (Lilford's wall lizard) is the source of this 66-nucleotide non-coding RNA. The record is from the annotation of a GenBank genome assembly. NCBI's taxonomy places the organism in Eukaryota, Metazoa, Chordata, Lepidosauria, Squamata, Lacertidae.
AGUUUUGCACAGUGACAGUAUUGUAGCCAAUGAGGUUAAUCCGAGGCACGAUUAUUGCUGAUUGGA